Molecule: ribosomal RNA, 442 nt
Filed under: uncultured bacterium
Lineage: Bacteria
Description: partial 16S ribosomal RNA
Rfam family: Bacterial small subunit ribosomal RNA
Source: RNAcentral
CUACGGGUCGCUGCAGUGGGGAAUUUUGCGCAAUGGGCGAAAGCCUGACGCAGCAACGCCGCGUGAGGGAUGAAGGCCUUCGGGUUGUAAACCUCUUUCGGGUGGGAAGAAAAAAAUGACGGUACCACCAGAAGAAGCCCCGGCUAACUCCGUGCCAGCAGCCGCGGUAAUACGGAGGGGGCAAGCGUUGUUCGGAAUUAUUGGGCGUACAGCGUAUGUAGGCGGUCUGGCAAGUCAGACGUGUAAGCCCACGGCUCAACCGUGGAAUUGCGUUUGAAACUAUCAGGCUUGAGUUCGGAAGAGGAAAGCGGAAUUCCCAGUGUAGCGGUGAAAUGCAUUGAUAUUGGGAGGAACAUCGGUGGCGAAGGCGGCUUUCUGGUCCGAUACUGACGCUGAGAUACGAAAGCCAGGGGAGCAAACGGGAUUAGAUACCCGAGUAGUC